AAGAAAAAAAAUUGUAUGGAGUUGGAACGUUUGCCUACGUUUGCUGCUAGGGGCGCUGUUCCAACUGCAUACAAAUUUGAGUUA
Molecule: non-coding RNA, 84 nt
Organism: Bombyx mori (domestic silkworm)
Lineage: Eukaryota; Metazoa; Arthropoda; Insecta; Lepidoptera; Bombycidae
Source: Rfam